GUGGCAGACCUGCCUAUGUUGCAUUGAUAAGUAGUUUAAUGUGACUUAAGGCUGCCACACACAUUAAACCCCAAUGGUUUCUGCCGACAGGGCCUGUCCAGACAUCAGGUUUCCUGUGCGAUGAUUCCAUACAGA
Bombina bombina (fire-bellied toad) is the source of this 135-nucleotide non-coding RNA. The record is from RefSeq and is a predicted model, not a curated record. Lineage: Eukaryota; Metazoa; Chordata; Amphibia; Anura; Bombinatoridae.